AUUGAACGCUGGCGGAAUGCUUUACACAUGCAAGUCGAACGGUAGAGGGGGGCAACCCCUUGAGAGUGGCGAACGGGUGAGUAAUAUAUCGGAACGUGCCCAGUCGUGGGGAUAACGUAGCGAAAGUUACGCUAAUACCGCAUACGAUCUACGGAUGAAAGCGGGGGACUCGCAAGAGCCUCGCGCGAUUGGAGCGGCCGAUAUCAGAUUAGGUAGUUGGUGAGGUAAAGGCUCACCAAGCCGACGAUCUGUAGCUGGUCUGAGAGGACGACCAGCCACACUGGGACUGAGACACGGCCCAGACUCCUACGGGAGGCAGCAGUGGGGAAUAUUGGACAAUGGGCGAAAGCCUGAUCCAGCCAUGCCGCGUGUGUGAAGAAGGUCUUCGGAUUGUAAAGCACUUUAAGUUGGGAGGAAGGGCAGUAAGUUAAUACCUUGCUGUUUUGACGUUACCAACUAGAAUAAGCACCGGCUAACUUCGUUGCCAGCAGCCGCGGU
Molecule: ribosomal RNA, 498 nt
Filed under: uncultured bacterium
Lineage: Bacteria
Description: bacterial SSU rRNA
Rfam family: Bacterial small subunit ribosomal RNA
Source: RNAcentral